UCGGGAAUUUUGGGCAAUGGGCGAAAGCCUGACCCAGCAACGCCGCGUGAAGGAUGAAGUCUCUCGGGAUGUAAACUUCGUAAGAAUAGGAAGAAUAAAUGACGGUACUAUUUGUAAGGUCCGGCUAACUACGUGCCAGCAGCCGCGGUAAUACGUAGGGACCAAGCGUUGUUCGGAUUUACUGGGCGUAAAGGGCGCGUAGGCGGCGUGGUAAGUCACCUGUGAAAUCUCCGAGCUUAACUCGGAACGGUCAAGUGAUACUGCUGUGCUAGAGUACAGAAGGGGCAAUCGGAAUUCUUGGUGUAGCGGUGAAAUGCGUAGAUAUUAUCCAGAACACCAAUUGCGUAGGCAAGUUACUAAGUCAUAACUGACGCUGAGGCACGAAAGUGUGGGUAUCAAACAGGAUUAGAUACCCAAGCCUGAGCGGGCUGGCAAGGCGCAU
Molecule: ribosomal RNA, 442 nt
Filed under: uncultured bacterium
Lineage: Bacteria
Description: bacterial SSU rRNA
Rfam family: Bacterial small subunit ribosomal RNA
Source: RNAcentral